CAGCAGCCGCGGGAAUACGUAGGGUGCAAGCGUUAAUCGGAAUUACUGGGCGUAAAGCGUGCGCAGGCGGUUAUAUAAGUCAGAUGUGAAAUCCCCGGGCUCAACCUGGGAACUGCAUUUGAGACUGUAUGGCUAGAGUGUGUCAGUGGGGGGUAGAAUUCCACGUGUAGCAGUGAAACGCGUAGAUAUGUGGAGGAAUACCGAUGGCGAAGGCAGCCCCCUGGGAUAACACUGACGCUCAUGCACGAAAGCGUGGGGAGCAAACAGGAUUAGAUACCCCUGUAGUCCCUGUCUCUUAUAC
RNAcentral lists this ribosomal RNA (301 nucleotides) under uncultured bacterium. RNAcentral describes it as "partial 16S ribosomal RNA". It matches the Rfam family "Bacterial small subunit ribosomal RNA", at positions 509 to 807 of the family's 1533-position model. The record is from RNAcentral.